UCCUCCCUCUGUCGGCGUGCUUAACACAUGCAAGUCGAACGAAGAGCGAUGGAAGCUUGCUUCUAUCAAUCUUAGUGGCGAACGGGUGAGUAACGCGUAAUCAACCUGCCCUUCAGAGGGGGACAACAGUUGGAAACGACUGCUAAUACCGCAUACGAUCUAAUCUCGGCAUCGAGGAUAGAUGAAAGGUGGCCUCUACAUGUAAGCUAUCACUGAAGGAGGGGAUUGCGUCUGAUUAGCUAGUUGGAGGGGUAACGGCCCACCAAGGCGAUGAUCAGUAGCCGGUCUGAGAGGAUGAACGGCCACAUUGGGACUGAGACACGGCCCAGACUCCUACGGGAGGCAGCAGUGGGGAAUCUUCCGCAAUGGACGAAAGUCUGACGGAGCAACGCCGCGUGAGUGAUGACGGCCUUCGGGUUGUAAAGCUCUGUUAAUCGGGACGAAAGGCCUUCUUGCGAACAGUUAGAAGGAUUGACGGUACCGGAAUAGAAAGCCACGGCUAACUACGUG
Molecule: ribosomal RNA, 510 nt
Filed under: uncultured bacterium
Lineage: Bacteria
Description: partial 16S ribosomal RNA
Rfam family: Bacterial small subunit ribosomal RNA
Source: RNAcentral